ACGAACGCUGGCGGCGUGCUUCACACAUGCCAGUCGAGCGGUAAGGCCUUUCGGGGUACACGAGCGGCGAACGGGUGAGUAACACGUGGGUGAUCUGCCCUGCACUUCGGGAUAAGCCUGGGAAACUGGGUCUAAUACCGGAUAUGACCUCCUAUCGCAUGGUGGGUGGUGGAAAGAUUUAUCGGUGCAGGAUGGGCCCGCGGCCUAUCAGCUUGUUGGUGGGGUAAUGGCCUACCAAGGCGACGACGGGUAGCCGACCUGAGAGGGUGACCGGCCACACUGGGACUGAGACACGGCCCAGACUCCUACGGGAGGCAGCAGUGGGGAAUAUUGCACAAUGGGCGAAAGCCUGAUGCAGCGACGCCGCGUGAGGGAUGACGGCCUUCGGGUUGUAAACCUCUUUCAGCAGGGACGAAGCGCAAGUGACGGUACCUGCAGAAGAAGCACCGGCUAACUACGUG
Molecule: ribosomal RNA, 461 nt
Filed under: uncultured bacterium
Lineage: Bacteria
Description: partial 16S ribosomal RNA
Rfam family: Bacterial small subunit ribosomal RNA
Source: RNAcentral